GUGGAUUAGAUACCCUGGUAGUCCACGCUGUAAACGAUGAUCACUAGGUGUAGCGGGUACUCAUUCCUGCUGUGCCGCAGCUAACGCGUUAAGUGAUCCGCCUGGGGAUUACGGUCGCAAGACUAAAACUCAAAGGAAUUGACGGGGGCCCGCACAAGCGGUGGAGUAUGUGGUUUAAUUCGACGCAACGCGAAGAACCUUACCUGGGCUUGACAUCCCCGGACAUGCGUAGAAAUACGUCCUUCUCCUUCGGGAGACCGGGAGACAGGUGCUGCACGGCUGUCGCCAACU
Molecule: ribosomal RNA, 291 nt
Filed under: uncultured bacterium
Lineage: Bacteria
Description: partial 16S ribosomal RNA
Rfam family: Bacterial small subunit ribosomal RNA
Source: RNAcentral